This 254-nucleotide ribosomal RNA is filed under the name uncultured bacterium. RNAcentral describes it as "partial 16S ribosomal RNA". It matches the Rfam family "Bacterial small subunit ribosomal RNA", at positions 524 to 776 of the family's 1533-position model. The record is from RNAcentral.
UACGGAGGAUCCAAGCGUUAUCCGGAUUCAUUGGGUUUAAAGGGUGCGUAGGCGGAAUGAUAAGUCAGUGGUGAAAUCUCAGAGCUUAACUCUGAAACUGCCAUUGAUACUGUCAAUCUUGAGUACAUUUGAUGUGGGCGGAAUGUGUCAUGUAGCGGUGAAAUGCUUAGAUAUGACACAGAACACCGAUUGCGAAGGCAGCUCACAAAACUGUAAACUGACGCUGAGGCACGAAAGCGUGGGUAUCAAACAGG